UACAGAGGUCUCAAGCGUUGUUCGGAUUCAUUGGGCGUAAAGGGUGCGUAGGUGGCGGGGUAAGUCAGGUGUGAAAUUUCGGAGCUCAACUCCGAAACUGCAUUUGAUACUGCCUUGCUUGAGGACUGGAGAGGAGAUUGGAAUUCACGGUGUAGCAGUGAAAUGCGUAGAGAUCGUGAGGAAGACCAGUGGCGAAGGCGGAUCUCUGGACAGUUCCUGACACUGAGGCACGAAGGCCAGGGGAGCAAACGGG
Molecule: ribosomal RNA, 253 nt
Filed under: uncultured bacterium
Lineage: Bacteria
Description: partial 16S ribosomal RNA
Rfam family: Bacterial small subunit ribosomal RNA
Source: RNAcentral